Molecule: ribosomal RNA, 464 nt
Filed under: uncultured bacterium
Lineage: Bacteria
Description: partial 16S ribosomal RNA
Rfam family: Bacterial small subunit ribosomal RNA
Source: RNAcentral
GACGAACGCUGGCGGCGUGCUUAACACAUGCAAGUCGAACGGUAAGGCCCCAGCUUGCUGGGGUACACGAGUGGCGAACGGGUGAGUAACACGUGGGUGACCUGCCCCGCACUUCGGGAUAAGCCUGGGAAACUGGGUCUAAUACCGGAUAGGACCGCACCGUGAGGGUGUGGUGGAAAGUUUUUCGGUGUGGGAUGGGCCCGCGGCCUAUCAGCUUGUUGGUGGGGUAAUGGCCUACCAAGGCGGCGACGGGUAGCCGGCCUGCGAGGGUGGACGGCCACAUUGGGACUGAGACACGGCCCAGACUCCUACGGGAGGCAGCAGUGGGGAAUAUUGCACAAUGGGCGGAAGCCUGAUGCAGCGACGCCGCGUGGGGGAUGACGGCCUUCGGGUUGUAAACUCCUUUCACCAUCGACGAAGGUUUUCUGACGGUAGAUGGAGAAGAAGCACCGGCUAACUACGUG